UCCAGCACUGGUCAGCUGUCUGGAGAACCAUUCCUGUGGUGGUGGUACACUGCUGGGAGAGCAUUGUCUUGCCUUUAUCUGGUUGCCUUUGUCACUGUUCUGGUGGGGUCUGGCACUGGUGCAAGGCAGGACUGUGUUUACUUAAGUGUGUGCCAAGCAUUCACU
Tupaia belangeri (northern tree shrew) is the source of this 165-nucleotide small nucleolar RNA. Its record names the gene SNORA74. It matches the Rfam family "Small nucleolar RNA SNORA74". From Rfam's summary of the family: U19 belongs to the H/ACA class of snoRNAs. snoRNAs bind a number of proteins (including dyskerin, Gar1p and Nop10p in the case of the H/ACA class) to form snoRNP complexes. The record is from Ensembl. NCBI's taxonomy places the organism in Eukaryota, Metazoa, Chordata, Mammalia, Scandentia, Tupaiidae.